Molecule: non-coding RNA, 46 nt
Filed under: Trichobilharzia regenti
Lineage: Eukaryota; Metazoa; Platyhelminthes; Trematoda; Strigeidida; Schistosomatidae
Source: RNAcentral
AUACUGCUGAGGAGUCCCAAACUAGGACGAGACAGCUGUCCAGUAC